UACGUAGGGGGCUAGCGUUGUCCGGAUUUAUUGGGCGUAAAGAGCGUGUAGGCGGCCAGGUAGGUCUGCUGUGAAAACUCGAGGCUUAACCUCGAGCUGUCGGCGGAAACCAUCUGGCUAGAGUCCGGAAGAGGAGAAUGGAAUUCCCGGUGUAGCGGUGAAAUGCGUAGAUAUCUGGAGGAAUACCGGUGGCGAAGGCGGCAUCCUGGACCAUUACUGACGCUGAGGCGCGAAAGCUAGGGGAGCAAACGGG
Molecule: ribosomal RNA, 253 nt
Filed under: uncultured bacterium
Lineage: Bacteria
Description: partial 16S ribosomal RNA
Rfam family: Bacterial small subunit ribosomal RNA
Source: RNAcentral